UAGGUAACAGGUACCAGCUACUGUCAGCAGGGAGGAAGGUAUGUGGUGACCACGAGUCCAGACCUGAGGGUCCUGACCCUCUAAUGCGGCCUCUCACCAGUGUUCGCAGAAACCCACCCGCUGAUUCAAUACGGGGACCAGGAACCUGCCAUGACAGUCACGACUCAGUCUGCCUGCACCUACAUGAUUAAAAAGCUUUAUUGCUCACACAAAGCCUGUUUGGUGGUCUCUUCAUAUGGAUGCGCAUAACAUUUGGUGCCGAAGACCCCGGACAGGGUGACUCCUUCGGGAGAUUGGUCCCCUCUCCUCACCCUCACUCCAUGAGAAGAUCCACCUACGACCUCAGGUCCUCAGACCAGCCCAAGGAACAUCUCACCAAUUUCAAACCGGGGGCCAGGCAUUUCUCCAGGACCUCCUCCCCCAGGAUCUUCCUUCAAGUGCCGGAAAUCUGGCCACUGGGCCAAGGAAUGUCCCAUCUGUGCGAGACCCCACUGGAAAUCAGACUGUUCAACUUGCCUGGCAACCACUCCCAGAGCCCCUGGAACUCUGGCCCAAGGCUCUCUGACUGACUCCUUCCCAGAUCUUCUCAGCUUAGCAGCUGAAGACUGACACUGCCUGAUCACCUCAGAAGCCUCCUGGACCAUCACAGAUGCUUUGGGUAACUCUUACAGUGGAGGGUAAGUCUGUCCCCUUCUUAAUCAAUACGGAGGCUACCCACUCCACAUUACUUUCUUUUCAAGGGCCUGUUUCCCUUGCCUCCAUAACUGUUGUGGGUAUUGUCGGCGAGGCUUCUAAACCGCUUAAAACUCCCCCACUCUGGUGCCAACUUGGACAACAUUCUUUUAUGCACUUUUUUAGUUAUCCCCACCUGUCCAGCUUCCUUAAUAGGCUGAGACAUUUUAACCAAAUUAUCUGCUUCCCUGAGUAUUCCUGGGCUGCAGCCACAUCUCUUUGCUGCACUUUUACCCAACUCAAGACCUGUUUCACAUCCUCCCCUUGUAUCUCCCCACCUUAAUCCACAAGUAUAAGAUACCUCUACUCCUACCUUGGCAACCGAUCAUGCACCCCUUAUCAUCCCAUUAAAAUGUAAUCACCCUUACCCCGCUCAAUGCCAAUAUCCCAUCCCACAGCAGGCUUUAAAAGGGUUAAAGCCUGUUAUCACCUGCCUGUUUCAACAUGGCCUCUUAAAGCCUACAAAUUCUCCUUACAACUCCCCUAUCCUACCCGUCCAGAAACCGGACAAGUCUUACAGGUUUGUUCAGGAUCUUCGUCUUGUUGAUCAAAUCGUCCUUCCCAUCCAUCCUAUAGUGCCAAACCCGUACACCCUCCUAUCUUCAAUACACCCUUCCACAACUCUAUUCUGUUAUCGACCUCAAAGAUGCCUUCUUUACUAUCCCCUUGCAUCCCUCCUCCCAGCCUCUUUUUGCCUUACUUGGACUGACUCUGACACCCACCAGUCCCAACAACUCACCUGGAUUUUUCUACCCCAAGGCUUCAGGGACAGCCCACAUUACUUUGGCCAGGCCCUUUCUCAUGAUCUGCUUUCUUUUCACCCAUCUACCUCCCACCUUAUUCAAUAUGUUGAUGAUCUUCUUCUUUGCAGCCCCUCUUACCAAUCUUCCCAGCAGGACACUAGCCUGCUUCUUCAACAUCUUUACUCAAAGGGGUACAAAGUAUUGCCCUCUGAGGCACAAAUUUCUUCCCCUAGCAUUACCUAUCUUGGUAUAAUGCUCCAUCAACAUACACAUACCCUUCCUGCAGACUCUGUUCAGUUAAUCUCCCAGACCCCAACCCCCACCACCAAACAACAACUCCCUUCCUUCUUAGGCAUUGUUGGAUAUUUCCAACUUUGGAUACCGGGCUUUGCUAUCCUAAUCAAACCACUUUACUAGCUCACAAAGGGUAAUUUAACUAAUCCCAUAGACCAUAAGUCUUUUCCCCAUUCUUCCUUUCACUCUCUCAAAAAGGACCUGGAGACAGCUCCCACACUAGCACUCCCCGACUCGUCCCAUCCUUUUUCCUUACACACAGCUGAAAUACAAGGCUGUGCUGCUAGAGUCCUCACACAGGAUCCAGGCCCACGACCUGUUGCCUUUAUCUUCCAGUCCUCCAGCAGGCUAGACAGGAAAUUCGCCAGGCUGCUAAUCUUCUCUUGCCUCCUCCAAACUCCCAGCCAUGUGAAGAUACCUUAGCUGGGCAAUCAGUCCUUGUCAAGUCUGACCCCUCACACUCUACAGCUUUGAUGGACUGGACCCUACCUGGUCAUUUAUAGCACCCCAACUGCCAUCCGUCUGCACGACCCUCCCCAUUGGAUUCACUGUUCCAGAAUAAAGCUGUGCCCAUCAGACAGCCAGCCUGAUCUCUCCUCUUCCUUCUGGAAGUCGCAAGUACUCACCCCUACUUCCCUUAAACUCACUCGCAUUUCUGAAGAACAAUAAUAACCCUUAUGAGCCUAAUACAUCUCUUCAUUCUAUUAAGUCUAUUUAUCCUUACCCUACUUUUUGCAACAGAGCUCUACGCAGUCACCCCCACUAUUUGGACUGUGCCCCCAAAAUUUGUCAUCUCCACUAUCUUCUGUCUAGUCAUACUCCUAUUCACCAUUCUCAAUGACUCAUAAAUGCCCUGCCCCUGUUUACACUGCCAGUUUACACUUUUCCUCCAAACCAUCAUAGUGGAUAUCUCCUGGUACUAUCCCCAAUCCGCCACUCUUGACUCCCUCUUGGAGUGGACAGAUGAUCUUUGCUGACAGGGCACCCUCCAAUACUUUCACCCUGAUGAAGUUCUAUUCUUUACUUUUAUACUCACUCUUAUUCUCGUUCCCAUUCUUAUGCCACCCUCUACCUCUCCUCAGCUAUCUCCACCACACUAUCAAUCUCACUCACUCUCUCCUAGCCAUUUCUAAUCCUUCUUAACAAACAAUUGCUUCCUUUGCAUUUCUCUUUCCUCCAAAACUGCUGAGGCCUUGACUUACUCACUGCUGAGAAAGGAGAACUCUGUAUAUUUUUAAAUGAAGAGUGUUGUUUUUACCUAAAUCAAUCUGGCCUGGCAUAUGACAACAUAAAAAAAACUCAAGGAUGGAGACCAAAAACUCACCAACCAAGCAAAUAAUUAUGCUGAACCCCCUUGGGCACUCUCUAAUUGGAUGUCCUGGGUCCUCCCAGUUCUUAGUCCUUUAAUGCCUGUUUUUCUCCUUCUCUUAUUCAGACCUUGUGUCUUCCGUUUAGUUUCUCAAUUCAUACAAAACUGCAUCCAGGCCAUUACCAAUCAUUCUAUAUGAGAAUUGCUCUUUCUAACAACCCCACAAUAUCACCCCUUACCACAAAAUCUUUCUUCAGUUUAAUCUCUCCCACUCUCUAGGUUCCUGUGUCACCCCUAAUCCUGCUUGAAGCAGCCCUGAGAAACAUCACCCAUUAUCUCUCCAUACCACCCCCAAAAAUUUUCGCUGCCCCAACAUUUCAUCACUAUUUUGUUUUGUUUUUCUUAUUAAUAUAAGAAGACAGGAAUGUCAGGCCUCUGAGCCCGAGCUAAGCCAUCAUAUCCCCUGUGACCUGCGCUUAUACAUCCAGAUGGCCUGAAGCAACUGAAGAACCACAAAGAAGUGAAAAUACCCAGUUCCUGCCUUAACUGAUGACAUUCCACCAUUGUAAUUUGUUCCUGCCCCACCCUAACUGAUCAGUUGACCUUGUGACAUUCCUUCUCCUGGACAAUAAAUCUCAGGAGCUCCCCACUGAGCACCUUGUGACCCCCGCCUGUACCCGCAAGAGGACAACCCCCUUUAACUGUAAUUUUCCACUACCUACACAAAUCCUAUAAAACCGCCCCAUCCCUAUCUCCCUUUGCUGACUCUUUUUUCAGACUCAGUCUGCCUGCACCCACAUGAUUAAAAAGCUUAAUUGCUCACACAAAGCCUGUUUGGUGGUCUCUUAACAUGAAUGCACGUAACACAACCACCUUCAGGGCUCAAGAAAUCCUCCUUCUCUGCCUCCUGAGUAGCUGGGACUGCAGGUGCACACCACCACCCCCAGUUAAUUUUUGUAUUUUUUGUAGAGA
RNAcentral lists this long non-coding RNA (4050 nucleotides) under Homo sapiens (human). Its description in RNAcentral is "HSALNT0311637". The record is from RNAcentral. Lineage: Eukaryota; Metazoa; Chordata; Mammalia; Primates; Hominidae.